This 1731-nucleotide long non-coding RNA is filed under the name Homo sapiens (human). Its description in RNAcentral is "non-protein coding HAS2-AS1:12". Lineage: Eukaryota; Metazoa; Chordata; Mammalia; Primates; Hominidae. The record is from RNAcentral.
AAUUGCUCCUGAGACCCAACAGGCAGCAACGGUCCCAAGGUCUUUCUGCCCCCGAUAACAGAAAAUCUCUUUUUCGUCUUAAAAAAAAAAAAAAAAAAAAAAAAAGCCUGUGGAAGACUCAGCAGAACCCAGGAAGCGCAGAAUUGGGAGAAAAGUCUUUGGCUGGGGCUGUUUCAAGUCUCUGGUUCAAUGGGCUGCUCGAAGCCAGGACUGGGUAAUUCUUUCCAGACGUCUUGACUUCUCCUUCCCCGCCGUUGUUGCCCUUCUGCCUCCUCCAACUUAAGGGGGUCUUAACAAGUGAGCUGGAUCUUCUGAGGGGUGGACUUCUUUGGAACUCGACAGGACCUUGAAGACUGGGUUCUUAGUCCUUAUCACAUAUAUGGGCUAUAAUGAAUAAGUCUAAACAGAAAAGUCGAAUAAACUGGAAAUGAUGCUUUCAUCACGUCGCACAAGAAAAACACAUUUGUUGUUUCUCGCCUCUUGUAAUUCAUGACCCAUAAGACAAAAGUAAAAUGUUCUCUGACUGCAAAUGGAUGUAAAAACUGAUUAUACAGCUACACAUUUCUGUCAUCCUCCCAUCUCUACCCCAAAGAAAGAGGAGCUGUUUGGAUCAGAAGAUGACAUCCUUUCACCCAUCCCUUUCAGGUUUUGACAUCCUAAAAUGUACCUUAUGGAACCCAUACCUGUUAUGUUUUCACCUGUACAAGGCAACAGAGAAAACAUGGUAGUUUUUACUUGAGUAGAUGUGACUUAGCAAUAUGUUGUUGCUGACCUCCAUCCCACAGCACAAAACAUAUGUUUAUAUGUCUGACAGACAAAGUAUCCAGAACAAGGAUUUAGUACCUUCAUAAUCCUCUGUAUAUGUGGUUCUAGAACUUUUGGUAAAGAAACUCUUUAUACUCUUAUUAAUUAUUGAGAACCUCAAAAAAAGUUUAUAUGUUAUAUGUAUCAAUAUUUACCACAUUAGACAUUAAAGCUGACUUAAAAAGUUAAAAUACUUAAGUCAUUUGAAGUAAUAAUAAAUGCAGUUACAUACCAACUUAAUAACAUUUUGCGAAAAUAGCUAUUUUUCAAAACCUAAAGUGAGAAAAGUGGCAGUUUUCCAUUUUUGCAAAUCUCUUUGCUGUCUAGCUGAUAGAAGACAGCUGGAUUCUCCUAUUUGCUUUUGCAUUCAAUUGUUGUUUUGAUUGAAGUAUAUGAAAAAAAAUCUGGUGUCAUACACAUAUAUAAUUGGGAAAUGGAAGAGUAUUUACACAGGCUUUUUUAGAUAUUCUUCCUUUAUACUACAUCAAAACUUGAUAAGUUGCAAUGUUGUGAAUUGGCCCAGGGCUUGGCCCUCUGAAGAUUUGCUGAAAAUCACUGACAUGAAGUAGAUUAAUAGGAUAAAAGGCAUAUACAUUUAUUUAAUGUGUAUACACAGCGGCCUUUAGAAUGAAGACCCAAAGAUACAGAAGAAAUUGUCUGUUUUUAUGCUUAAGUUUAACAAAGAAUGGGCAGCCGUGUAGAGAUAGGAUAGGACAAAAAGGGCAUAAUCUAAUGCUAGCUGACUGAGUGAGGAAGCCCAGCAAGGCCUGUCAGUGUCUCCUCAGUAUGAGUGAAUUUUGUGUACUCUGAUAAUACAUUAAAAUCUGUUUAUGUACUCUGAUAACACAUUCAAAUCUGUUGUUCUGUUUUAUACUUUAAAUGCAUCUUUUAUAACCGUUUAUGAAUUUGUAAUAUUGUGUAUUGAUU